Molecule: non-coding RNA, 235 nt
Filed under: Mus musculus (house mouse)
Lineage: Eukaryota; Metazoa; Chordata; Mammalia; Rodentia; Muridae
Description: Eukaryotic small subunit ribosomal RNA
Rfam family: Eukaryotic small subunit ribosomal RNA
Source: Rfam by way of RNAcentral
UGUCCUGCGGGGCCCGAAGUGUUUACUUUGAAAAAAUUAGAGUAUUCAAAGCAGGCCCAAGCCGCCUGGAUACCACAGCUAAGAAUAAUGGAAUAGGACCGCGGUUCUAUUUUAUUGGUUUUCGGAACUGAGGCCAUAAUUAAGAGGAAGGCCAAGGUGGUGGUGUGGUGGCAGCUGAAGGCGGCACGGAGAUGCGGGUCUCAGCAGCAGAUUGAAAUCCAGAGUCCUUUUCAGA